AGGACGAACGCUUGCGACGUGCCUAAGAAAUGCAAGUCGAACGGGGUAGCAAUACCUAGUGGCGAACGGUCGCGUAACACGUGGGCAACCUGCCUCAGAGCGGGGGACAACAAUCCGAAAGGGUUGCUAAUACCGCAUGUGAAGGGGAAUGGCAUCAUUCCUUGUUCAAAGCUUUAUGCACUCUGAGAUGGGCCCGCGGCCUAUCAGCUAGUUGGUGGGGUAACGGCCUACCAAGGCAUCGACGGGUAGCUGGUCUGAGAGGACGAUCAGCCGGAUUGGGACUGAGAUACGGCCCAGACUCCUACGGGGGGCAGCAAUUAGGAAUCUUGCACAAUGGGGGCAACCCUGAUGCAGCGACGUCGCGUGGAGGAUGAAAUCUUUCGGGAUGUAAACUCCGUUUUAACGGGAAGAAUAAUGACGGUACCGUUGAAUAGCCCGGCUAACUACGUGCCAGCAGCCGC
This 461-nucleotide ribosomal RNA is filed under the name uncultured bacterium. RNAcentral's name for it is "SSU rRNA". It matches the Rfam family "Bacterial small subunit ribosomal RNA", at positions 26 to 518 of the family's 1533-position model. The record is from RNAcentral.